CAGAAGGGAUAUAAUCGCUGCGGUUUUGCCGCAGAGGAAAGUCCGGGCUCCUUCGGAAAAAAUGCCGGCUAACGGCCGGGGGCUUUUUUGUAAUGGAAAAGCUACAGAGAGCGCAACAGAAAGUAUACCGCCGCAAGGUAAGGGUGAAAUGGCGGGGUAAGAGCCCACCGGGUUUUUGGCAACAAAAACCGCAUUGCAAGCCUCAUUUGGAGCAAAGUUAAAUAGCAGCUGUAAUUCCGAUGCCGGGCGCAAGUCUGGGCGGCUGCUGGUAAACUGCUGGAGAUAAAAUGUAAGUUUUGUCCAAGAUAGAUGAUUAUGGUAAAUUGUUGCUUUGCAAUAAUUUAUUGACAGAACUCGGCUUAUUGUCUCUUCUGCUUU
RNAcentral lists this RNase P RNA (378 nucleotides) under Spirochaetaceae bacterium. RNAcentral describes it as "RNase P RNA component class A". It matches the Rfam family "Bacterial RNase P class A". From Rfam's summary of the family: Ribonuclease P (RNase P) is a ubiquitous endoribonuclease, found in archaea, bacteria and eukarya as well as chloroplasts and mitochondria. Its best characterised activity is the generation of mature 5'-ends of tRNAs by cleaving the 5'-leader elements of precursor-tRNAs. Lineage: Bacteria; Pseudomonadati; Spirochaetota; Spirochaetia; Spirochaetales; Spirochaetaceae. The record is from RNAcentral.